GACGAACGCUGGCGGCGUGCUUAACACAUGCAAGUCGAACGGAAAGGCCCUGCUUUUGUGGGGUGCUCGAGUGGCGAACGGGUGAGUAACACGUGAGUAACCUGCCCUUGACUUUGGGAUAACUUCAGGAAACUGGGGCUAAUACCGGAUAGGAGCUCCUGCUGCAUGGUGGGGGUUGGAAAGUUUCGGCGGUUGGGGAUGGACUCGCGGCUUAUCAGCUUGUUGGUGGGGUGGUGGCUUACCAAGGCUUUGACGGGUAGCCGGCCUGAGAGGGUGACCGGACAAUAGGGGAGGGUGAGGAGGCCCAGCCCCCACGGGGGGGGGAGGGGGGGGAGUGGUGAACAAGGGGGGGAGGGCUGGAGCAGCACCCCCGGGGGGGGGGUGGGGGGCUGGGGGUGUGAAACCGUUUUCCCCGUGGACGGAGGGGGGGGGGGGGGAAGGGGUAAAGAAGCACCGGCUAACUCCGUC
Molecule: ribosomal RNA, 468 nt
Filed under: uncultured bacterium
Lineage: Bacteria
Description: partial 16S ribosomal RNA
Rfam family: Bacterial small subunit ribosomal RNA (bases 20-331)
Source: RNAcentral